This is a long non-coding RNA of Bactrocera latifrons, 895 nucleotides long. RefSeq lists it as uncharacterized. The record is from RefSeq and is a predicted model, not a curated record. The transcript is spliced from 3 exons. Lineage: Eukaryota; Metazoa; Arthropoda; Insecta; Diptera; Tephritidae.
AGCGUUACUAACAAAGAAACAUUCGUUCGUUUGUAUGGGAAAAAGAAGAGUUGUUUUUACGGGUUUCCCGGGAAUUAUUCGAAUUUUUCUUGCCGCAAAAACCAUCCUUGGCCAUCAACGGCCAUAUUAAUUUGGUUCAGUCAUAAAUUAUCCAAACGUCAAAUAACUCGUGAAAUGAGGAUAAGUAGCUUGAAAAAAGGACAGUGGACGUCCGAAAAAAGUAAAACCUCGUCACAUACGACAAAUUAAACGGAUGUGCAUUAGGGUAAAAAUAACUACACGUUUUAUGUAAAAUGUUCUGAAUAAUCUCGAGCGCAACGUCCAACCAAAAAGCUAUCUCCGAUUACAAGACAUGACGAAACAGCGACUAGAGUGGGCAAAAUCACACAAAACAUGGACUACAUCAGAUUGGGAAAAUGUCACCUAAAAAGUUUAUUUUCAGGAUGAUUCAGCCCCAAGAGCYAAAACCUUAUCUAAAGCGUUACAAAACAAAAAGAUUUUUAUGGAAUUAAGUCUCUCAUGUGGCCAGCAAACAGAUCUCAAUCCAGUUGAGAACUGCUGGCAUUAUAUGGACAAAUCCAAAUGUCUAAAAGAAAUGGAAAAAAUGGAAUGAAGAAAUUAAUAAAAAUUAUCUUGAACACUUGUUUGAAUCCAUGCCUAAACGAAUAGCCGAGUUUAUUAGUAGGAGGGGAUGUUCUAAAUGUAUAAAACUUGUUUAAAAAUUACAAUAUUAUUCAUAACAAAUUUUAGUUCUGUGGUUUGCUUUGUGUGUAUAUUUAUAUUUUUCACGCUACUGUAUGCCAAAAUUAAUAUUAUUUUUACUAACCCUAAACUGUCAGAUGUCUAUUGGUUUUCUAUACUCUUGCAACCAGUUGCUACAUAAUAUAAUACGGAU